This 465-nucleotide ribosomal RNA is filed under the name Vreelandella stevensii. RNAcentral's name for it is "partial 16S ribosomal RNA". It matches the Rfam family "Bacterial small subunit ribosomal RNA", at positions 338 to 795 of the family's 1533-position model. The record is from RNAcentral. Lineage: Bacteria; Pseudomonadati; Pseudomonadota; Gammaproteobacteria; Oceanospirillales; Halomonadaceae.
CCUACGGGUGGCUGCAGUGGGGAAUAUUGGACAAUGGGGGGAACCCUGAUCCAGCCAUGCCGCGUGUGUGAAGAAGGCCCUCGGGUUGUAAAGCACUUUCAGUGAGGAAGAACGCCUGGUGGUUAAUACCCAUCAGGAAAGACAUCACUCACAGAAGAAGCACCGGCUAACUCCGUGCCAGCAGCCGCGGUAAUACGGAGGGUGCGAGCGUUAAUCGGAAUUACUGGGCGUAAAGCGCGCGUAGGUGGCUUGAUAAGCCGGUUGUGAAAGUCCCGGGCUCAACCUGGGAACGGCAUCCGGAACUGUCAAGCUAGAGUGCAGGAGAGGAAGGUAGAAUUCCCGGUGUAGCGGUGAAAUGCGUAGAGAUCGGGAGGAAUACCAGUGGCGAAGGCGGCCUUCUGGACUGACACUGACACUGAGGUGCGAAAGCGUGGGUAGCAAACAGGAUUAGAUACCCCAGUAGUC